This 21-nucleotide non-coding RNA is filed under the name Arabidopsis thaliana (thale cress). The record is from RNAcentral. Lineage: Eukaryota; Viridiplantae; Streptophyta; Magnoliopsida; Brassicales; Brassicaceae.
UGGCGGUGCUAAGCGCGUACG